GGCAUUCUGUUAUUGGGAUUGUCAUGGGUGAAGAGCUAAAUGCACUAUUCAGGACGACCAACCUAAAAUAAGAGAAGAGAUAGGAUUGUAUAUACCAGUCCUUUCCAUCAUGGGCUCCUGUGGAAAAUGACCCCAGCUCAGCUCAGUAGUUGAUGGGACAUCUGAUUCAGGUUGGACCCAGCCCAGACAUCUGAUUCAAACAAUAUUCUUCUCCAGGAAUUUUGUAACCAGCACUGGUAAAGGGAGGGAAGUGCUCCCCAGUGGGGAAAGCUGCAGAAUGUGAGACUUGGAAACCAAAGGCCACCAUGUUUUCUGUCUCAUGAUGGAAUCCAAUCUUCUUUGGCGGGGAAAAUAAAUGAAGCCAACACCAGACAACAUAUAUCAAGCAGGGGCCAUUGUUCCAGCCUGACUCCAGGAAUCAGCAGACAGCGCAGCCUCAUUCUCCACCUGCUCCCUGCAGUACAGCCUCAGAACCACACAGUUGCAGCCAACCAGCUCCUGACAUGGAACUUGAGCAACAAAUGCCCUUUGUUUUUGCAAGUCCCUGAGAUUUGGAAGUUGUUACACAGCAUUCUCUCAGCCAGAAGUGACUGACAUGGUAUCAUUGCAGUCUUGAUCAAUUUGCCCUAUGCAAAGUGUUUUUAUAUGCCGUGAAUUUCUGAAGAUAGAACUACUGUUAUUCCCCAUGAAGCAGUUGAGGAAACUGAGUCAUAGAAUGUACAAACAACUUCCCCAAGGCUACUGAAAGUGAUGGGAAUCAAACAUAUCUUUGCCUAACUCCAGAUCCCAUGCUUUUGAAGAUAUUUAUACUGCCUAAAGCUGUAACGGACUUUUCUAACAGUCAUACAUGGCAUAUUUAGUUGCUCUCCAUGGGGAAAUAAUGACCUGACAUGGAAAAUAUUGGUGUACUUUAUUAUGAGAUUCUAAUAAGCAACCAUUAUACAUGUAUGUAAUAUAUACAUGCAACCUCUUAAGCUUAUGCUAUUCUGUAUGGAUGUUACUAGCUUUAAGAAAUUCUAAAGAGUAGGGAUAUUAAAAAUACUGAGCCAAUAAAGUAGGAUAAUUUUU
Pan troglodytes (chimpanzee) is the source of this 1068-nucleotide long non-coding RNA. RefSeq lists it as uncharacterized. NCBI's taxonomy places the organism in Eukaryota, Metazoa, Chordata, Mammalia, Primates, Hominidae. The record is from RefSeq and is a predicted model, not a curated record. The transcript is spliced from 3 exons.